Molecule: small nucleolar RNA, 84 nt
Filed under: Sorghum bicolor (sorghum)
Lineage: Eukaryota; Viridiplantae; Streptophyta; Magnoliopsida; Poales; Poaceae
Description: snoRNA SNORD34
Rfam family: Small nucleolar RNA SNORD34
About the family: snoRNA U34 is found in intron 5 of the ribosomal protein L13a gene in humans.
Source: Rfam by way of RNAcentral
UUUUGCCUAUGAUGAAUUGCAACUUUAUUGCCUACAUUGUUUGACUAGUCUUCUGUGAUAAGAGGUGCAGUUACUGAGGCUUAA